ACUUUUGUGACAUAAACAGACUCAAGAGCAGGCUUACAAGCGUUAAUCAACUUUCUCCCACCGCGUAUUGCAUCAACCAAGUAGAUAGCGUCCGGAAAAGCAAGCUGCACAAUAUAGAGAGUUCCAUAUCUACAGAGGUCAACACCCUCGCAGUCAAGUCCAACAACCAUCUCAUUUUUUGGAGAAGGGUAGAGAAAUGUGGCUGGAAGUUGAG
Molecule: unclassified non-coding RNA, 214 nt
Filed under: Hevea brasiliensis (rubber tree)
Lineage: Eukaryota; Viridiplantae; Streptophyta; Magnoliopsida; Malpighiales; Euphorbiaceae
Source: RNAcentral